GCAAGUCGAACGAAGUAGCAAUACUUAGUGGCAGACGGGUGAGUAACAUGUAGGUAUCUGCCCUUUGGCCUGGAAUAACACGAGGAAACUUGUGCUAAUACCGGAUAAGUCUUUACGGAGAAAGCUUUAUGCACCAUUGGAUGAGCCUGCACUUGAUUAGUUUGUUGGUGGGGUAAUGGCCUACCAAGACUGUGAUCAAUAGCUGAUUUGAGAGGAUGAUCAGCCACAUUGGGACUGAGACACGGCCCAAACUCCUACGGGAGGCAGCAGUGGGGAAUCUUGCACAAUGGAGGAAACUCUGAUGCAGCGAUGCCGCGUGAGUGAAGAAGGCCCUUGGGUUGUAAAGCUCUUUCGUCGGGGAAGAAAAUGACUGUACCCGAAUAAGAAGGUCCGGCUAACUUCGUGCCAGCAGCCGCGGUAAUACGAAGGGACCUAGCGUAGUUCGGAAUUACUGGGCUUAAAGAGUUCGUAGGUGGUUGAAAAAGUUAGUGGUGAAAUCCCAGAGCUUAACUCUGGAACUGCCAUUAAAACUUUUCAGCUAGAGUAUGAUAGAGGAAAGCAGAAUUUCUAGUGUAGAGGUGAAAUUCGUAGAUAUUAGAAAGAAUACCAAUUGCGAAGGCAGCUUUCUGGAUCAUUACUGACACUGAGGAACGAAAGCAUGGGUAGCGAAGAGGAUUAGAUACCCUCGUAGUCCAUGCCGUAAACGAUGUGUGUUAGACGUUGGAAAUUUAUUUUCAGUGUCGCAGGGAAACCGAUAAACACACCGCCUGGGGAGUACGACCGCAAGGUUAAAACUCAAAUGAAUUGACGGGGACCCGCACAAGUAGUGGAGCAUGU
RNAcentral lists this ribosomal RNA (837 nucleotides) under uncultured Alphaproteobacteria bacterium. Its description in RNAcentral is "bacterial SSU rRNA". It matches the Rfam family "Bacterial small subunit ribosomal RNA", at positions 57 to 942 of the family's 1533-position model. The record is from RNAcentral. Lineage: Bacteria; Pseudomonadati; Pseudomonadota; Alphaproteobacteria.